RNAcentral lists this ribosomal RNA (483 nucleotides) under uncultured bacterium. RNAcentral's name for it is "partial 16S ribosomal RNA". It matches the Rfam family "Bacterial small subunit ribosomal RNA", at positions 28 to 507 of the family's 1533-position model. The record is from RNAcentral.
GACGAACGCUGGCGGCGUGCUUAACACAUGCAAGUCGAACGCUGAAGCUCAGCUUUUGUUGGGUGGAUGAGUGGCGAACGGGUGAGUAACACGUGAGUAACCUGCCCCCUUCUUUGGGAUAACGCCCGGAAACGGGUGCUAAUACUGGAUAUUCACUGGUCUUCGCAUGGGGGUUGGUGGAAAGGGUUUUUCUGGUGGGGGAUGGGCUCGCGGCCUAUCAGCUUGUUGGUGGGGUGAUGGCCUACCAAGGCUUUGACGGGUAGCCGGCUUGAGAGGGUGACCGGUCACAUUGGGACUGAGAUACGGCCCAGACUCCUACGGGAGGCAGCAGUGGGGAAUAUUGCACAAUGGGCGCAAGCCUGAUGCAGCGACGCCGCGUGAGGGAUGGAGGCCUUCGGGUUGUGAACCUCUUUCGCUCAUGGUCAAGCCGCAACAAUGGUUGUGGUGAGGGUAGUGGGUAAAGAAGCGCCGGCUAACUACGUG